This 466-nucleotide ribosomal RNA is filed under the name uncultured bacterium. Its description in RNAcentral is "partial 16S ribosomal RNA". It matches the Rfam family "Bacterial small subunit ribosomal RNA", at positions 28 to 507 of the family's 1533-position model. The record is from RNAcentral.
GAUGAACGCUGGCGGCGUGCUUAACACAUGCAAGUCGAACGGACAGACCCAAGCUUGCUUGGGUGCUCGAGUGGCGAACGGGUGAGUGACACGUGUGGGAUCUGCCCUUCACUUUGGGAUAAGCCUGGGGAACUGGGUCUAAUACCGGGUAGGACCAUCGGUUCGGGUCGGUGGUGGAGAGUUUUUCGGUUUGGGUUGAGCUCGCGGCGUAUCGGCUUGUUGGUGGGGUAAUGGCCUACCUAGGCGUGGACGGGUAGCCGGCCUGUGAGGGUGUACGGCCAUACUGGGACUGAGAGACGGCCCAGACUCCUACGGGAGGCAGCAGUGCGGAAUCUUGCAGAAUGGGCGCAAGCCUGAUGCAGAGACUCUGCGGGGCGGAUGACGGCCUUCGGGUUGUAAACUCAUUUUGUAAAGGACUAAGCGUGUUGUGACGGUACCUGGUGAAGAAGCAACGGCUAACUACGUG